Molecule: RNA transcript, 978 nt
Organism: Pterocles gutturalis (yellow-throated sandgrouse)
Lineage: Eukaryota; Metazoa; Chordata; Aves; Pterocliformes; Pteroclidae
Gene name: metabotropic glutamate receptor 8 pseudogene
Exons: 1
Source: RefSeq, a predicted model, not a curated record
AUGGGGGAAAAUAGAAGGCUCAUUAAUUUUUUAUACCCACAGGUAGAAGACAUGCAGUGGGCUAAUAGAGAACACACUCAUCCAGCAUCUGUCUGCAGCCUGCCCUGUAAAGCUGGAGAAAGAAAGAAAACCGUGAAGGGAGUGCCCUGCUGCUGGCACUGUGAACGCUGUGAGGGGUACCAUUACCAGGUGGAUGAAUUCAACUGUGAACUGUGCCCCAUUAAUAAGAGACCAAAUGCCAACCGUACAGACUGCCAGCUUAUCCCUAUAAUCAAACUGGAGUGGCAUUCUCCUUGGGCCAUCGUGCCCGUCUUCAUCGCUAUUCUCGGUAUAAUUGCCACCACCUUUGUGAUUGUGACAUUUGUCCGCUACAAUGACACACCGAUCGUCAGGGCCUCUGGACGGGAGCUCAGUUAUGUGCUCUUGACUGGGAUUUUUCUCUGUUACUCGAUUACUUUUUUAAUGAUUGCGACUCCUGAUACAGUGGUCUGCUCGUUUCGAAGGAUCUUUUUAGGACUUGGCAUGUGCUUCAGCUAUGCUGCCUUGCUCACCAAAACAAACAGGAUUCACAGAAUAUUUGAACAAGGUAAAAAAUCUGUCACAGCUCCCAAAUUUAUUAGUCCAGCUUCUCAGCUGGUGAUCACUUUCAGCCUCAUAUCCAUGCAGCUUAUUGGCGUCUUCAUCUGGUUUGCUAUCGAUCCACCACAUAUCAUUGUAGACUAUGGAGAGCAGAGGACACUUGAACCAGAAAAUGCCAGGGGAGUUCUCAAAUGUGACAUUUCAGAUCUUUCUCUCAUUUGUUCCCUUGGAUACAGUAUUCUCUUGAUGGUCACAUGCACUGUUUAUGCUAUUAAAACAAGAGGGGUUCCAGAGACCUUCAACGAAGCAAAACCCAUUGGAUUUACUAUGUAUACAACCUGCAUAAUUUGGUUAGCUUUUAUUCCAAUCUUUUUUGGUACGGCCCAAUCAGCAGAGAAG